RNAcentral lists this ribosomal RNA (477 nucleotides) under Triticum aestivum (bread wheat). RNAcentral's name for it is "partial small subunit ribosomal RNA". The record is from RNAcentral. Lineage: Eukaryota; Viridiplantae; Streptophyta; Magnoliopsida; Poales; Poaceae.
AUGGCGUCGGGAUCAAGCUCGCAGGGGCGGCAUGGCAAGGAGACGACGGAGGAGCUGCUAGCCAGGUUGAAUUUGCAGGAGGAGGAAGAUGAUGAUUUCGUGUGGGAGGAGGAGUUGCCAGAUCUGGGGGCGCCGGCGAAGUGGCUAGCCAUAGCCAGGGUACACACUACAAGGACUUUCAGCCCUAAUGCUCUUUAUGGGGACAUGCGUGCAGCCUGGAAUCCAGCGAAAACGGUGGUCUGAAGGAAGGGGAAGGACAACUUGUUCACAGCGCAGUUUGGUUGUCUAGGGGAUUGGAAUAAGGCCAUGCUAGAGGGGCCAUGGCUUUUCAGAGACCAAGCAGUGAUUUUGGUGGAGUAUGAUGGGUUCAAAAACCCUGAUAGCAUCAAGUUGGAUAAGUUGGCAGUUUGGGCGCAAAUCCAUCGUUUACCUGACAACUUUUUGAUCGAGCCUGCAGUCAGGGGGAUGGCAUCGUGA